AACCUUUGUUGUUGAUUUUCUGUCGGCGGACACAAACCUGGCUGUGCUCCCUUAAUGUCAGAGCGCGUCCCUUUGAUGGAGAGCUGAUGAUGCGGGAUCCCAUUGUGUGUGAGUGUGUGGGAGGGAGAGAGUGAGUGUGUAAGUGGGAGAGGGAGAGAAAUUCAUGCCUGGAUCAUGGCGGCUGACUUGAGGAGGGAGACACUACCUGAUCAAUGGUCUUACGGUGUUUGCAGGGAUGGUCGUGUUUAUUUCAUUGACGAUGAAACACAAAACACCAGCUGGUUACAUCCCCGGACUGGUGUGGCUGUCAAUUCUGGACACAUAACACGAACAGAUCUACCUCGCGGCUGGGAGGAAGGAUUCAGCGACGAGGGAGCGAGUUACUUUAUCGAUCAUAAUCGACGGACUACAUCCUUCAGGCAUCCAGUGACUGGAGAGAUUUCCCAAGAAAACGCUGAAUUCAUCUUGAACGAACAGCCAAAUAUCCGCAUGUCUAAGCAACAGGCAGAUCAAAGGCCGUCCAGUAUGGUCAGCGAGUCGUCCACAGCAGUGACCUUGUCCACGAUGGACACUGCACCAGGUUCAAAGGUUUCAAGGUCGAGUGGCAGAAUCCAUAACUUUGGAAAGCGGGAGCAGUCAAUCAGGAGGAACCCAAAUGCCCCGGUGGUGGUGAGAGGAUGGCUGUACAAGCAGGACAGCUCUGGAAUGAAGCUGUGGAAGCGACGGUGGUUUGUCCUCUCGGAAUAUUGCUUGUUCUAUUACAAAGAUAGCAGAGAGGAUACCGUGCUGGGAAGCAUUCCACUGCCAAGCUACGUAGUUGCCCCUAUAGAGCCGGAGGAUCACAUAGGCCGCAAAUAUGCCUUUAAGGCCACCCACACGGGCAUGCGGACGUACAUUUACAGUAAGAACUCUCUGAUUGGCUCGCAGGCGGAGCACACCGGCAUGAGAACCUACUAUUUCAGUGCAGACACUCAGGAGGACAUGAGCGGCUGGAUCAGGGCCAUGAACCAAGCAGCUCUCAUGCAAGCCUACACUCUGAAGAGGGAGACGGGGAAGGAAGACCGACCACUCCUCGCCCAGAGCAACCACAUCAACGUGUGCAAGGGGAUGGCCAGGGCUGAGGGCCUUCAGAACAAAGCUGACUCGAGGAGGCCGGACGAGACGUUUGGGUUCGAGAAGCGGGAGGAGAUCAAGAAGGAGCGAGAAGAUGAGGAGAGGUACGGCUUCCGCAAGGACACGGUAGAGAUGGCUGUCGGCAAAGGCGGCAGGAAGAGAGCUCAGGCCAGCCCCACGCAGAGCGACGAGCACGCCGCCCAUCCUCAGCUUCUGCCUCGGCACCACCCAGCCCAGCGCAAUGGGACGCUGCCUCCCACCGCGCCCAGCGCCGGGCCUGCCGAGCGGAAUGGAGGCGCUGUGUACCGGAGGGGCUUUGUGCCCCGCACUGGCACUGAGAAGAAUGCCCAGCGGAAGAGCUCCCUGGCACAAGUGGAGCAAUGGGUGAAGUACCACAAAACAGAUGGCCCGAGCCUGGGGCCCACCCAAACACUUCCACACCGGACCAGCCAGUCCCAGCCCUACCCGGAUGGCUAUCAGACACUCCCGAGGAACCUGGGGGAGAGCUCCCCUCCUGCCGGACAGCACCUGCCCAGCGACUAUAAAUAUGCCCAGGACCGUGUGCUGCACCUCAAGAUGUCUAACAACGAGCGCCAGGCCACCAAGGAUGGCAUGGUGUGGCAGCUGUACGAAUGGCAGCAACGGCAACAGUUCAAGCAUGGCAGCCCCACCGCCCCGCUCUACCCCCCGCACGACUUUGAGAUCGCCAAGGCCACGCUGGACGCCCCCCGCUCUAUUUCCGUGCCCCCGUCCCCCUCGGACAUCCCCCCGCCACCUCUGCCAGGACCUCCCAAAGCCCUCUCGCCCCGGAGACCCCACAACCCGGCCGACCGGGUCACCAUCAGGCCCCAGGAGGGCAGGGCCACCGAGGUGCCUUUCCUGGGCUCUCCCACGAAACACCGGGGGCCCGUCGCCAAGCAGACCGCCGCCCACGUUGACAGGCGUUCGAUGCCCCCCAUGGGUUACAUGAUGCACACGGUGAGCGCCCCCAGCCUGCAUGGGAAGACGGCUGAUGACACUUACAUGCAGCUGAAAAAGAACCUGGAGUACCUGGAUCUGAAGGUAACGGGACAGGAAACAAUCAGGCGUGUUGUGCAGCCGAUGAAAAUUGCAGAAAGUGAUGUUGAUGCGAAGCUGAGCAGACUUUGUGAACGGGACAAAAGUCUUCAAGAUUUGGAAAUGAAAGUCAGGCAGCUCAAGAUGGACAAGGACAAGCUGGAGUCAGUGCUGGAGGUGACGCACACGCAGAUGGAGCAGUACAGGGGGCAGCCCACCCACACCGACAAGAUCGCCUACCAGCAGCGGCUACUGCAGGAGGACCUGGUUCAGAUCCGAGCGGAGAUCUCCAUCAUCUCCACGGAGAUGGAGAAUGUGUGGAAGAAAUACGAGCAGACGGAACGGGAUGUGAACCAGCUGAAGGAGUUGAUGCUGGAACAUCUGAGAAGAGUCCCGAACUCCCAGGAGCAAGUGCAGAUAAGGAAGGAUCUGCGGAGGAUCGAGGAUGUUAUGGGAGGGCUCAGUGUGAGCAAAAGCAACUACAAAGUGAUCAUGGAAUCCAUCCAGAAUCCCGACCGAAGAACCGUGCCUUCAAUGCCUUCCUCAUCAGUGCCUUCUUUCUCAACUACAUCCACGCUGUAUGAGAGGAGAGCUGCAAAUCAGCUGAGCCCUCCAGUCAGUCCAGUGAUGCUUUCGCCUGGGCCCCAACCUCAGACUCAAUACAGACCUCACAUUCUGCCUCAGUUCAGGCAACAGCCAAAGGUGCCAGAGGACGAUGCUCCGCCCAGGCCUCCCCUCCCCCACAUGUACAGCCCUGAUGACCUGCCACCAGCAGUCCCACCUCUCCCAAAGGACGCCACAGUCAUCAGGCACACAUCAGUGCGGGGCCUCAAACGCCAAUCAGAUGAGAGGAAGCGAGACCGGGAGUACGGCCAGUACGUGAACGGAGACUACAAGGCAGAGCUGCGUUCCUAUGUGAGCGAGCCGGAGCUGAUGUCAGUGGGAAGCGGGAUGAGCAGAUCCAUGGCCGGAUCCCUAGAGCACGAUGGUGGAUUCCAGACCCUGCCCGGCCGAGGCUUGUCGUCGUCCAGCACAGGACUGCAGCAGUCCUCCGACGUCACAUCACACUACGUCACACUCCGGAGAGGGAGGAACGACAUCAGCUCUAAGCAGAGGCCAAAGAGCGCUGUGGAGCGCCUGUACGGGGAAAACCAAAGAGGGAGGAUGAGCGCGGAGGAGCAGCUGGAACGUAUGAAGAGGCACCAAAAGGCCUUGGUUCGCGAGCGGAAGCGAACACUCAGCCAUGGAGAGCGUCACUCCACUUCCUCCCGGCCUUCCUUCAGACCAGCUUCUGCUGAUAUUGGCUCAUGGAAACGUGAACAAGACUUUGAUUUACAGCUACUGGAGAGAGCUGCACAGGGAGAGGCGAGCAGGGAGCAUGACGGGCUCCUGAAGGUAGUGCCUGUGGUGGAAGCUGACGUGGAACCUCUGGAUUACGAUCUGGAUCUCAGCAAAGAGUUAUCCAAGCCAGAUAUGGUUGAGAUCCCAGAGCGUUACAUCAACCUGGAGCCCAAUGAGCCGCUCACCAAUGAAGAGCUCGAAACGAGGAGACGCAAGGUGCAAAAAAUCAAAAGCAUCCUUGCCAAGUCCAGUUUUCAGAAUGUACAAUCCGGAAUCACCCACAACAAAGAGAACUCUCUGGAUGUGGACUUGCAACUACAGGAGCAGGAACGACUCAUCACCAUGUCCUAUGCCUUAGCGUCCGAGGCCUCUCAGCGCAGCAAACUAGUGGCAGCUCAACAACAAGUCCAUCCUCCGGCACCCUCCCCUCCUCAUUCCCCUCUUAGCAAUGGAUUCCACUACACGUUUGUCUAAGCAAAGUUGCAAAGUUCAAGCAUUCAAUGUUCCCAGUGAUCAUCACCUAGAUCUGAAGAGCCAAGUUGCCUGCAAGGGUCAAAGUUAUUUGAAAGUUAUUAUUGAAUCUGCUUCCACCACCCUUUCAAGCAGUGCAUUCCAGAUCAUACCAACUCACUGCGUAAAAAAGCUAAAGCCCUGGCUGAAGACUAACAAAGAAGAGAGAGCAAAGCAAGAGGAAAAUAUUGCCACAAAGCGACCGAGAGCAGUGUUGUAUUACACUUGGCCUGUACUAACCAGCUGGAGACCAACAUAAUCUCAUCAACAGAUUUUUUUUCUACUUCAAAAAAAAAGCAAAAUAACUUUGCUGGAUGUGACCUGGGAACUGGAUCACUGCAUGACUGGAUGAACAUUUAAAAAGGGAAGCUAUUUUUCUAAACAUACAAAAAACAUUUUAGCAAACAUUCAGUGACUUUCAUGUUGGGUGCAAAAGUCUUUAACACAAGAGUUGUUUGCGUAGGUUUUAACAUGUUUUUUUAAAAACAUAUGAUAUUGCACUUUUUAAUAUAUACAUAUAUAUAUAUAUAUACACACACCAUGAAAGGCUGGUUUUGCUGCAUUUUAGAAUCAGGAUACAUUGAAACAAGUUUAUAAAAAAAUGCAAAUUAUUCAGAGCAAUUUAACUGUUUGAAAUAUGUGUUCAAUUUUCAUUAGGCUGAUUUUCGCGGCAAUAUUUUAUUGUGCUAUUUCAUGGUGAGUAUAGAUACUACAGAACAAAAGGAUGGAAACACUGGUUCAUCCCUGAUUUACACUGAAAUACUGAUCUAUUUUUUUGAAUUUGAAAUCAGCAUCUAAUCUCCUCAGAACAUUGUUUUUGGUGACGCGAUUUUAAAAUGAAUUUAUUUUGUCUGAACCAAACACUGCCACAGUGAACUGUUGCCAAAACCAAACGGAUUUCCGCCCACCGCCAACAGUUGUGAUGAACGCUUUAGAAGUGGAGUGAAAAAAAUACAGAUCAUGAAAGAUGGGUGGGGGGAGUGGUGGGAGAAGAGAGAGAGAACGCAUGGGCGGGAAGAAUAUUUUGAACGAUGACAC
Callorhinchus milii (elephant shark) is the source of this 5058-nucleotide RNA transcript. It is a transcript of the gene named pleckstrin homology domain containing, family A member 7b, with no coding region annotated. The record is from RefSeq and is a predicted model, not a curated record. NCBI's taxonomy places the organism in Eukaryota, Metazoa, Chordata, Chondrichthyes, Chimaeriformes, Callorhinchidae. The transcript is spliced from 29 exons.